This 76-nucleotide transfer RNA is filed under the name marine actinobacterium MedAcidi-G2A. Its description in RNAcentral is "tRNA-Glu". It matches the Rfam family "tRNA". From Rfam's summary of the family: Transfer RNA (tRNA) molecules are approximately 80 nucleotides in length. Their secondary structure includes four short double-helical elements and three loops (D, anti-codon, and T loops). Further hydrogen bonds mediate the characteristic L-shaped molecular structure. tRNAs have two regions of fundamental functional importance: the anti-codon, which is responsible for specific mRNA codon recognition, and the 3' end, to which the tRNAs corresponding amino acid is attached (by aminoacyl-tRNA synthetases). tRNAs cope with the degeneracy of the genetic code in two manners: having more than one tRNA (with a specific anti-codon) for a particular amino acid; and 'wobble' base-pairing, i.e. permitting non-standard base-pairing at the 3rd anti-codon position. Lineage: Bacteria; Bacillati; Actinomycetota; Actinomycetes. RNAcentral also lists the same sequence under 1 other name. The record is from RNAcentral.
GCCCCGUUCGUCCAGCGGCCUAGGACGCCGGCCUUUCACGCCGGUAACACGGGUUCAAAUCCCGUACGGGGUACAA